UAAAAAAUUUGGCGGUAUUUUAGUCUAUUCAGAGGAACCUGUUCUGUAAUCGAUAAUCCACGAUGGACCUUACUUAAGUUUGUAAUCAGUUUAUAUACCGUCGUUAUUAGAAUAUUUUAUAAGAAUGUUAAUUUUCAUAAUUUUUUAAAAGAAAAUAUAUCAGAUCAAGGUGUAGCUAAUAUUUAAGUAGAAAUGGGUUACAAUAAAUUUAUUUAAACGGAUAUAAAUUUGAAAUAUUUAUUGAAGGUGGAUUUGAUAGUAAAAUUAUAAAGAUUAAUAAUUUGAUUUUAGCUCUAAAAUAUGCACACAUCGCCCGUCACUCUUACUACUAAGGUAAGAUAAGUCGUAACAUAGUAGAUGUACUGGAAAGUGUACCUAGAAUGCAAUUUAAAGCUUAUUAAGUAAAGUAUUUCAUUUACAUUGAAAAGAUUUUUGUGCAAAUCAAUAUAAAUUGAAUAGAUUUUAUUUAUUAAUAUUUUUUUUAAAAAAUUUAAUUUAUUAAAAAUAAUUAUAUAAAGAAUUGUUUUAGUAUUUUUUAAAGAAAAAAUAAUAUUAAUUAUAGUGUAAUAGUAUUGUGAAAGAAAAUUGAAAUAAUUUGAAAAAUUUUUAUUU
RNAcentral lists this ribosomal RNA (612 nucleotides) under Hypopygiopsis fumipennis. RNAcentral's name for it is "partial 12S ribosomal RNA". The stretch from base 384 to 455 matches the Rfam family "tRNA". Lineage: Eukaryota; Metazoa; Arthropoda; Insecta; Diptera; Calliphoridae. The record is from RNAcentral.